RNAcentral lists this ribosomal RNA (253 nucleotides) under uncultured bacterium. Its description in RNAcentral is "partial 16S ribosomal RNA". It matches the Rfam family "Bacterial small subunit ribosomal RNA", at positions 524 to 776 of the family's 1533-position model. The record is from RNAcentral.
UACGGAGGGUGCAAGCGUUGCUCGGAAUUAUUGGGCGUAAAGGGUAGGUAGGUGGUCUCAUUUGUCAGGGGUGAAAGCCUUGGGCUUAACCCAAGAAGUGCCCCUGAAACGGUGAGACUAGAGUCCUGGAGAGGGUCGUGGAAUUCCCGGUGUAGCGGUGAAAUGCGUAGAGAUCGGGAGGAACACCAGAGGCGAAGGCGGCGACCUGGACAGGCACUGACACUCAACUACGAAAGCGUGGGGAACAAACAGG